RNAcentral lists this ribosomal RNA (647 nucleotides) under uncultured Campylobacterota bacterium. Its description in RNAcentral is "bacterial SSU rRNA". It matches the Rfam family "Bacterial small subunit ribosomal RNA", at positions 53 to 726 of the family's 1533-position model. The record is from RNAcentral. Lineage: Bacteria; Pseudomonadati; Campylobacterota.
ACAUGCAAGUCGAACGAGAACGGCCCCUUUUUCGGAAGGGGUGUCAGCUAAGUGGCGAACGGGUGAGUAACACGUAGCUACCUGCCCCAUAGACUGGGAUAACAGUUGGAAACGACUGCUAAUACUAGAUAUACCCUAAGGGGGAAAGAUUUAUCGCUAUGGGAUGGGGCUGCGGCGUAUCAGCUAGUUGGUAGGGUAAAGGCCUACCAAGGCUAUGACGCGUAGCUGGUCUGAGAGGAUGGUCAGCCACACUGGAACUGAGACACGGUCCAGACUCCUACGGGAGGCAGCAGUGGGGAAUAUUGCACAAUGGGGGAAACCCUGAUGCAGUAAUGCCGCGUGGAGGAAGAAGCAUUUCGGUGUGUAAACUCCUUUUAUAUCCGAGGAAGAUGACGGUAGGAUAUGAAUAAGCUCCGGCUAACUCCGUGCCAGCAGCCGCGGUAAUACGGGGGGAGCGAGCGUUACUCGGAAUAACUGGGCGUAAAGAGCGCGUAGGCGGGCUAAUAAGUUGGGAGUGAAAGCCCACAGCUUAACUGUGGAACUGCUUCCAAAACUGUUAGUCUAGAGUGUGGGAGAGGCGAGUGGAAUUCCUGGUGUAGGGGUGAAAUUCGUAGAGAUCAGGAGGAAUACCGAAAGCGAAGGCGACU